UUUAAUAUGGCAGAAACUAUUGCAAUAAACCUAAAAUUUAUUAAUAAAGAAUUAUCUUUUAUUAAAA
Molecule: transfer RNA, 67 nt
Filed under: Kokeshia sp. NKU02
Lineage: Eukaryota; Metazoa; Arthropoda; Insecta; Hemiptera; Schizopteridae
Description: tRNA-Leu
Source: RNAcentral